This is a long non-coding RNA of Populus nigra (black poplar), 892 nucleotides long. RefSeq lists it as uncharacterized. NCBI's taxonomy places the organism in Eukaryota, Viridiplantae, Streptophyta, Magnoliopsida, Malpighiales, Salicaceae. The record is from RefSeq and is a predicted model, not a curated record. The transcript is spliced from 2 exons.
GGGGAAAUCAAGAGCUGGAAGCAGGCUUGGACCUCUGAUCACUCCUUCUCUACCGAAACAGAGAAGAGAAAUGGAAGCGGGCUUGGACCUCUGAUUUUGCUCUGUGAAGCUCCUGAUCAACAUUUUGACCAAGAUUCUUCCUCUUUAUUGAAUCCCACAUGAAAGAAAACAAAAAUGCAUGGUUUGCAAACAGAAACGGCAAUGAACCCACCUGCAAAAAAUGUGUAAUGACAUGGGAUGUCUAAAAAAUACAUGAAUCAGCAGACUGGCAUAGGCUAAAAGCUCGUCCAUAUAGCAACGGUCCCAGGGCAUCCUGUCUCCAAACGAGGGUAGUUUCUAAUAGGCUCCUCGUAUAAUUUAUUUUUGAGGAUAGACACAACAAUGUGGCAUGGUUGCUUGCUAAUUUCCAUCAACUUGUGCAGACUGCUAUUGCUACGUGAUCCCGAGUCAAUCGUUCCUAUAGAAAGCAAUGUCACCCCAGUGUAAGACAAGAUCUGUUGCAGGAUUUUAUAGAAAAGCAAAGCACCGCCAAGAAGAAUUGUUGUCUCCACUGUAUGAUCAAAGGACUAUCUCUGACUAUAAGAUUCUUUUGAUUCAUUUCAUUUUUAUAUGGGGAAUUGGGAGUUCAAUGGAGGGUAUCAUUUUGUGGCUCCCCUAAAUUGUCAAAAUGUUAUGCAGCUCCAAUCUCAACGGCCUGUUCACAGUACGAAUUUUCAUUCUUAGUGUACUUGUUUCAGCAAUGAAUGUAAUGGGAUCCAGGAUGCAUACAAAAGCCUGCAAAUGCAGACUUUUACUAAUUACAUCCAUACCUCAAGGAUAACUGUAAGAUAACUCUCACAAGAGGAGCUUCGUUCUAUUUAAUGACAAAUUUCACACAGAUUAUUGUUUACAA